RNAcentral lists this long non-coding RNA (7708 nucleotides) under Sus scrofa (pig). Its description in RNAcentral is "lncRNA (ENSSSCG00045000395.1)". The record is from RNAcentral. Lineage: Eukaryota; Metazoa; Chordata; Mammalia; Artiodactyla; Suidae.
UUUUUGAAAUAACACUAGUUUUCCAAAGUUAAUUUAUUUUUUCCUGAAGGACCUCUCAGUGACUUAUAUGAUAAUGUGUAUUACAAUUAUCCAAGAGAAAAGACCAGCAUAGAGCAAUUUCUUAGUCUAAAAAUAAAAUCAAUAAAAACCUGUCUUAGGCAUAUUCACACAAUUUAGAAACAAAAUGCAGUCAUCUUACUUUGGGUUCUUAAAUCAAUGUGCCAGGGAGAGUGAACUAUAAAGGAGAAGCCCUCUAAUUGAUUCAGGCAGGAUGGCAUUUGGUUUUUUUAAUUAAAAUAUUUGGUUAGUUUUUAGUCACGAAACAUUUUAACCUGAAGCAUGUGACAGUAUAUCCCUCAGCUAAUUUCUUGAGGAAGGACCAAAGCCUUUUGUAACAGGAAGGACUCCUCACAGGGUCCCCUCAAGGUCCUCUUCCCUGCAUAAGCCACACCCAUGCAGCAUCAUCUACAGUAUCUGAUUUCAGUUUCUUUAAGUGAACUGGCAAACUCUACUUAUUCACAGAUGAGUUAAGAAGAGGACUGAAGUUUGGAUGGAGAGAUAGAUGGCUUUGGGUUUGGAUAUACUGAAUUUACAGUGUUUUCAGAAUAUUCACACAGUUCUUUGGCAGGUAUUUAGAAAUGCAUAAAUUUGCCUUUCCCUAAUUAGAAUUACUCACAGUUAAAUUUUUAAUUUUUUGCAUGUAUUCAAGAGUGUGUUUGUUGUUUCUUUACCUACUGGAAUCUGCUACUGAGGCUAUUAAAUCACUAUCAAAUCUCAUAAAAUCACAUUAUUUACUUUCACAUCAAUAAACCUUUCACAAUAAACAUUUUUUUCAGACACAUGAGGUUUGCAUUUAGAUAUAAAAACCACACAUUGAUACACUGGUUCUUGUCUCCAGCAAGAAUGACAGAGAAGCACAAACAGGUGCCACACUAGUGACAACACAAACUUGCUGUUGAAAACCAAUCUACCUCAGAAUUACAGGAAUAUUUAAUGAAAACUCAAUGGAAAUGUCUUGAAACUCUAGAAAAAUAUCUUGUGAAUAGUUAUAUCUUUGGCAAUGACAGCAUACCAUUCUCUUAUACAGCUCUUCAAAGUUUGACACCAUUGCUAAGUGGUGGUAUUACAUUAGUUUUCCCUAAAGGAAGUCGAGUUUUCCAUUUAUUUGGAGCAAACUAGCUAGUUUCUCAAAAUGACUUAAAUCUCCCUGAAUGCUAUUGAUUUGUGCGAGUGGAUGUAUAGAGUGGGGUUUAUCACUAUUGUGUUAUGUGAAUAUAUCCUCAUGUUGAAUGCAUGUUUUGUGCACACCAUGUGUUAUUUUCUGAACUCCAUGUGUCAAGUUGAACAUUCACAUGGACAUUUUUUUUCCUCAUAUAUAAUUAAAGUGAAGAAAAUUAAAGAAUUCAACUUACUUUCUCUUGGAAAUUCUUAUAAAAAUGUAGUAUUAGUAUAAGAAAUUAUCUUAAUUCUUACUGCUAAUUUAUCUCCUUUACCAUGUGUGAAUUUAGGAUUUUUAAAGAAUGUUUACUAUAUUCAGAUACUUUAGAGAAGCAGAAUGAAUAAGAGACAGAGAGAUACAGAGAGAUAUUUUAAUAAAUUGGCUUAUAUGAUCACGGGACUGGCAAAUUUGAAUUGUGCAGAUCAGGCCAGCACAGUAGAAAACAGUAAAGAUUGGUGUUUUAUCUUGAGUCCAAGGGCAUCCUGGAGGCAGAAAUUUUGUUUUCUCAGGGGACUUCAGUCUUUUUCUCUUUAAGCCUUUAACUGAAUGGAUGAGGCCCACUCACAUUAUGGAGGGUAAUCUGCUUUACUCAGUGUCCAGUAAUUUAAAUAUUAGCCGUAUCUAAAAAACACCAUGACAGCAACAUCUAAACUGGUGUGUGACACCGGUAUGGGCACUGGUAUGGGCACAGUAGCCUAACCCAUUUUGAUACACAGAAUUAACAUUGUAUGUAAUGAUGGUAUUGUGUGUGCCCAAUGUAAAAUUCAUCCUCAAAUCCUUAAGAGAAAAGGGUUUAGCUUCAAACAGUGGGCAGAUACACAGUAUGUUCCAAGUCCUAAACUAUUGAGCUAGGCUAGAUUCCAAAGACAGGUGUGGUUAAAAGCCUGACAGGAAUGAUGAGUCAUCUGUUUAUCAUUGCUUCCCUUGUAUUUAUUACCAGAUCAGUAAAUGAGCAGUACUGGAAGUACUCAAGAUCAAGGAUAUGAAUUGACAUGACUCCCGAAUCUCCCUCACCUCCUACAAAAGCAUGACUGAUGUGGUCCAUGUAGCUCACAGGAAGUAGGGCAUUUGCACCAUCAGAGCUGCUCAGAGCCACACACUCAUGUUUCACAACAUUGGUCUUGGAGAGACCUACAUCCACCUGCAGUGGUCUACCUUUUUAUAAGGAAUUUCUUGCUGUGCCACUUAUUCCCAUGUGAUAAUUCUUUUGUCUGGACAUGACUUUUCUUAUAACUAUUAUCACUAAUGGGAUUUUGAAUAAAUCCACAAAUACUCCUUAAAGUUUCUUCCCCCAAAUUAUAUGCUGUUGUUUUUUUAACAUGGUAUGUUAUUAAAUAGCAGAUUUAAAUAUGAGCAUUUUCAUAUUUAAAAUUAGGUUCAUGGUGUUGAGUAAAGAUAAUCAGAUAACUAAAUGGAAUCUUUAGGAAAUUUUAAAUAGUUUGCAGCAAGCAAGUUAUUAAAGAAUUAUUUAUUAAGAAUUUUAGUCUAAUACACUGAAAAAACCUAAAAUACAGUAUUCCAUUUGCCAUAAUAAUGCAUUUAUCAAGUAUUUUUUGGUAGUUGUUAGAAUUUUAGGUCUAGAGAAUCCUUUGACCUUGGGCAUUUCAUAAUACAUAAAGAUGGGGCCACUUUUCAUUCACACCAAGAUAGUAUAGCCACAGUGAUUAGUUAUACAGGUACUGAAGCUAGACUUUUGGGCUUCAUGCCUAGCUUUUUUAUUUCCUCUUUUUUUCACGACCAGCUUUUUGACUCAUCUACCAUAUGCUCUUGAGCAAAUUACUUAAGCCUCAGUACAAACCUUGGGUGUCUCAUCUGUAAAAUGAUGAUGACACUAAUGCUCUCUUUAUUGUGAAACUUAAAUGGGUAGAUAGUAUAAAACAUUCAAGCCAAGUCACAAGUUAAAAUUUCCUAAUUUUAAUAUAUAAAAAUCUCCUGAAAUAAAAACCAUGAUAAUUAGAAGUGAAACAUUCUAUCAACAGUAUUAUUAGCAGACUACUCACAGUAUAAAAUGAGUUAAUGAACUUGAAGAUGGUUCAAUAGAAAUUAUCCAGACUAUAAACAAAAAAAGUUAGUGAAAACAAAACCACACAACAGAGGAUCCAACUCUGGGACAAUAUCAAAUAGUGUAAAAUAGAUAGAAUUUGGCCUCAAAGGAGAAAAGAGAAAGGGGACAGAACAAAUAUUUGAAGAUAGUAUAGCCAGGAUUUUUCCAAAAUUAAUGAAGAAAAGCAAACCAUAUAUGCAAAAACUCAGAAAGUUCCAAGCAAAGUAAUAAGAAAACACAUUCGGAGACAUUCUCCUUAAACUACAAAAAAAUAAUACUUAAAAAAAUAUCUUGAAGACAGCCAGAGAUUGCCAGAGGAGAGCUGUAGGGGAGGAAAUAAAUAAGACAAAGAAUCAUAGUGUUUGUCUCACUAGAAACUUUUGGGAGCCGGAGGACAAUGGAGCAACAUCUUUAAAGUACUGAAAAAAAAAAAAAAUCAACCACACAAAUUUAUAUGCUCAAAAUAUAUAUAUAUUUCAAAAAUUAAGUAAAAGUGAAAAUAAUAACUUUUCAAAGAAACGAAAGGUGGAAGAAAUCAUUGCCAGAAGACAGGGACUAUAAGAAUUGUUAAAGAACUUCUUGAUCAGAAGAGAGAAGACAGUAGAUGGGAAAUUGGAUCUAUGAAGAAGUGAAGAGUGCUAGAAAUGAUUAAAAAAAAGGGGGGGGUAAACAUAAAAGUUUGUUUUCUUAUUUUUAAAUCUUUAAAUGUAGUUGAAAGUUUACAGCAAAAAUAUUAAUACAUUGGUGGGUUUAUGUCAUGUUUAGAUGUAAAUCGUAUGGUAACAAUAAUACAAAUUGUGGGGAAGAGAAAAUAAGAUUGUUAAACUAUAUAUAAAGUGUAAUCUUAUCUGAAGGAACACAGUGAUAAGUUAACGAUAUAUACAUUUGACCCUAGAACAGUCAUUAAAAAAUAAAGAUCUAUAAAUAUAGCCAAUAGUUGGAAUAACAUGGAGCCAUAAAGUAAUACUUACUCCAAAAAAUAAAACAGGAAAACAGAAAAUAAAGGAACAAAGAACAGAUAAGACAAACAAUAAAAGAAAUAACAAGAUGGUAGAUAAACUCAGUCAUAUGAAACUAUAUUAAAUGGAAAUGCUCAAAUAUUCUAAUCAGAAGAUAGAUUGUUAAUUGGAUAAAAAUAAGCAGGGACCACCUACAAGUCAUGUAUAAGAAACCCACUUCAAAUAUAAAGAAAUAAAUUGGUGAACCAACAACUGCAAUCUGCGCAUUUAUCCUAAAGAAAUGAUACCGUAUGUUCACAAAAAAUCUACAUAGAGUGAUGGCAGCUUUAUUCACAACAGCUCGGGGUUCCCGUUGUGGCGCAGUGGAAACGAAUCCAACUAGGAACCAUGAGGUUGCGGGUUCAAUCCCUAACCUUGCUCAGUGGGUUGAGGAUCCGGUGUUGCCAUGAGCUGUGGUGUAGGUGGCAGACAGGGCUUGGAUCUGGCCUUGUUUGGGCUGUGGUGUAGGCUGGCAGCUGUAGCUCCAAUUAGACCCCUAGCCUGGGAACUUCCAUAUGCCAUGGGUGCAGCCCUAAAAAGACAAACAACAACAACAACAAAAACGACAGCUCAAAUUGGAAGCAGUCUGCAUGUCCAUCAAUGGGUGACUCUAAAUAAACUGUGAUGUGUACAUACCAGAAAUAUUAUUCAGUGAUAAAAAGAAAAUGAUUGAUAAGUUCAAGUUAGAUAAACCUCAAGGGAAUUCUGCUGAGUGAAAAAAAGCCAAUCCAAAAAAAGUGAAUCAAAUACUCUGAUUCUAUUUAUAUAACAAUUUUGAAAUAAUAAAAUUAUGAAAAUGGAGACUGGACUAGUGGUUGCCAGGAGUUAGGAAUGGAGGGGCUGAGUAGAAGUAGCUGAGUGCAGUCAUGAGAGAGAAGCACAAGGGAUCCUUGUAGUCACAGAACUGUAUUGUAUGAAGCUGAUGAAACACUUUACAAGGUAGCUCUACAAUUUUUCAUUCUCACCAGCAAUGGGUGAGCUCCCAGUUUCUCCACAUUUUCACCCAAUUGUCCUUUUAAUUGAAUUUUUAAUUGAGGUGAUUGUGGAUUCAGAUGCAGUUGUAAGACAUAAUAAAUAUCCUAUGUGCCCUUUCUCUAAUAUACUCCCGUGGUAGCAUCUUGAGUCACCAUAGGACAGUAUAUAAAAGAGUACAUGUAAAACUGGGACUACAUGAAAACUGGAGUAUGCUUGAUUGAUUCUAUCAAUGAUAAUAUCCUGUUUGUGAUAGUGUUCUAUUAAAUAUAAAAAAUUUAUAUUCAAAAUAUAAUUUCUAGGAACCAAGAAACCUGAAGGGGGAAAAAGGCAAAUUUCUUCACAAGACAGAAUAUGCAAAUAGACAAAAAUCAUAUGUAAAACUGUCUAAUUAGAUAUCCAGGAAAUGGAAAUUCAAACCUCAAUGCAAUAGUAGGAUACAAUCAAACAGAAUGACAAAAAAAAAAGAGAGAGAGAGAGAAAAGAAAAUUAAUACCAAAUACCGGUAAAGAUGUAGAGCAAUAAGAGGCUACUGUACAUGCCUGGUGUGAAUAGAAACUGCUGCAACUACUUGGGAAAGUGGUUUGACAUCAUCUAUUAAAGCUAAUCAUACACGUAUUGUAAGACCCAGGAUUUCACUCACCAUUAAAAAGAAAUAGAUAUAUACGGAUACUAAAAGUAUGCACAAAAAUGUUACUGCUUGCAGAACUUCUAAGAACCAAAAAUCAAAACAAUCCAAAUACCCAUUAGUAGUAAAAUGGAUUUUUGAAAAGUACGGUAAAAUCACACAACAGUUUAAAAAAGACAAAAGAAUACUAUAGAGCAACAAAAAGGGACAAAUCACUGUUAUUCAUACAUUGUGGCUGAAUUUCAUAAACUAUGUUAAGAGAAAGAAGCUAGCACAAAAAGGACACACUGUUGAUUCCAUUAAUACAAAGUUAAAUAGUCAGUACUAAUAUAUGUUGAUGAAAGUCAGAAUACUGGUUUCCUUUGUGGAGGAAAAUGUCUAGAAAGUGGCAAGGGAGGUUUCUGAGAGUAUGAUUAUGGCUGAUUCUUGAUCAGGGCGGUGAUGGUUAAACAGGUGAUGUUAAGUUUGUAAAAAUGCAUAGGACAGUAACAGGAUUUUGUGUAAGUUCCUGUAUAUCUGUUAAAGUUCAGCCUAAGUUUACAAACAAAAUGUGAGUAACAGACACUCAUUAAAAAUAUAGAAAUCAGUUAUUUUGGGACAUGCUUUUGUAUCAGUAUCCACACAUGUAGAUUAAUAAUAAUAAUGCUAGAUGUACAUAGAGCCUUUUUCUAAACAUCAAAUAUAUUCUAAGAAUAUGGUUCUUAGAAUGCAGCUAAAUUUUGCUGGUGUGGUAGGUGAUGAUAGUGUAUAUUUAAGAGUAGAAAUUUAAAUAUGCAUUAAAUUUCAAAUGACUCCAUUUUAAUGUUGGAUAAUUUUAAUUUUACUCUAUUAGCAACACAGGCAAAAAGAGACCCUAUCUUAAAAGUAAGAUUAAUGGACAUAUUCAUAUGAUGAAUGAAAUUUUCCCAGAACUUCAGGAAUCUAUGCCUUCACUGUACAUCUCAUUAUUAUUAGUUGGACUCCUUCCAACUGCUAGGAAAAAGGAGUGAAAAUACUCGAUAUUACCAAAUUCCCAUUGCAUUUGGUUGGACCCCCCAGCUAGAAAAUUCCAUGCAAGUUUAUUUAGUCAACCAGUCUGUUUUAAAGUUUUGUAUACAUCACCCAUUUGUGUUUAAAAAUUAUUGGAACAUCUGAAAGAUAUUUAUUAUUCCAACAAAUUUAUAAAGAAUGUAAUUACUGUAAAACCCUAUAAUUAUUGUAAAAUUACCUAACAGAACAUGCCUUGCUGGCCUAUAUAGAAACCUCUUUGGGGCACAUGCAAACACACACACACACACACACACACUGUUCUGGUGGAGCAAGUAGAAGGUUAUGAAAAAAUGACUUAAGUUUACUGAGUGAAGAGUAUAUAGAAAUUUAUUUAGAAAAAUGAAUGACCAUGUUUGCAAUGAAGCCCCAAAAUAUCACAUGAAAGAUGCCCAUAAUAUUCUGAGGAUCGAGGGGGAGCAUACAUGCACACAAUUUACUGGACCACUGCAAUUGCAGAGGCAUGAAAGCUGACAUGGGAAGAUACAGUAUAUCAUUGGGGAGAUACAGUACGUCAUUGGGGUGGGUGGGGGAGGAUGUAAGUGCUUAUGGAUGUUUUAGAAAGAUACUGAGGCUUGGAGUUCCUGUUGUGGCUCAUUGGUUAACAAACCCGACUAGCAUCCAUGAGGACAUGGGUUUGAUCCCUGGCCCUUCUCAGUGGGUUAAGCAUGGCCAUGAGCUGUGGUGUAGACCAUAGACGAGGCUUGGAUACCAAGCCAGCAGCUACAGCUCCGAUUCAACCCCUAGCCUGGGAACCUCCAUAUGCCGAGGGCACAGCCUAAAAAGACAAAAGACAAAAAAAAAAAAAAAAAAAAAAAAAA